Molecule: ribosomal RNA, 459 nt
Filed under: uncultured bacterium
Lineage: Bacteria
Description: partial 16S ribosomal RNA
Rfam family: Bacterial small subunit ribosomal RNA
Source: RNAcentral
CCUACGGGAGGCAGCAGUGAGGAAUAUUGGUCAAUGGCCGGGAGGCUGAACCAGCCAAGUCGCGUGCGGGAAGACGGCCCUACGGGUUGUAAACCUCUUUUGUCAGGGAGCAACGUGCAUGUCGGGACCUGCUGUGCGAGUACCUGAAGAAAAAGCAUCGGCUAACUCCGUGCCAGCAGCCGCGGUAAUACGGAGGAUCCGGGCGUUAUCCGGAUUUAUUGGGUUUAAGGGGUGCGCAGGCGGAUGCACAAGCCGGCGGUAAAAUGGCGGGGCUAAACCCCGCCCCGCCGUUGAAACUGUGGCCCUUGAGUGCGCGAAGGGUAGGCGGAAUGCGUGGUGUAGCGGUGAAAUGCAUAGAUAUCACGAAGAACUCCGAUCGCGAAGGCAGCCUACCGGCGCGCAACUGACGCUCAUGCACGAAAGCGUGGGUAUCGAACAGGAUUAGAUACCCUGGUAGUC